Long non-coding RNA from Danio aesculapii, 479 nucleotides. RefSeq lists it as uncharacterized. The record is from RefSeq and is a predicted model, not a curated record. The transcript is spliced from 3 exons. NCBI's taxonomy places the organism in Eukaryota, Metazoa, Chordata, Actinopteri, Cypriniformes, Danionidae.
UUCCUUACAGAUUCUCCUCAGCUCACUACAGCACGAGUCACACACACAGACAGACAGAAAGAUGCCAGAAGAAGUUCCUGCUCAGUGCAAACUCCCCAAAGAGGAGCUGGACAAAUGUGUUCAGGGUAAAGGAGCAGAGGCCUGUAAGGAGCUGCUGGAGGCUUUCAACGCCUGUGUGAAGGGAGCCACAGCGGCCUCCUGAGGGGGACAUGGAUAUACAUGUCCUUCCUCUCUGGUCCUCCAGUGUCCUUGCAUUCCCUCACUCUGCACUGGACUGAACCAUUCGAAGGACAGUGAAAGGGGUGCAGGAGCUGGAAAGCAGUGGAAUUUAUUUAUUUAGAUCCUGAAAAGUCUUGUCUCAUGUCGUCUGUGUUAUUUGUAACUGUGUUGUUGUUGUUGUUUCUGAAUUCAGAUUUGAUGCUGUAAAAAGCACAAUGUAUUUCAUCUGAUUUUGAAUAAAUUAUUAUCGUUGUUUACCA